Molecule: small RNA, 30 nt
Filed under: Arabidopsis thaliana (thale cress)
Lineage: Eukaryota; Viridiplantae; Streptophyta; Magnoliopsida; Brassicales; Brassicaceae
Description: ATSL227260
Source: RNAcentral
AUUGUUUGGAAGGAGAAGAAAAAAUACUUG